GAUGCAGACGUGAAGACAAAUAGGUGUGCUACCAUUUCCAGCUCCAAUCGUCCUCUCCAGUUUCGAGUAUGACGGGAGAAGCAGAUGGAGCGAGUUGAGUUGUCCCCAUGCGGCGGCGGUGGGUCACGAUGUUGGACUGCGAGCUCACAUCUGGAUGAUUUGCAGGGGUGAGGGACACAUGUUUUUCUGUGCUUCUCCAAACCCAUGGAAAUGGUGACAACCAUUAUGAGGAAAUCCAUGUCUUCUAGCCUUCGGUUCUGCCCCAGCGGACUCCUAAGUUAAUGAAGGAUGGACCAGAGCUCGCCUGAAAUCUCUGCUCAUCGCUCUGUGUUGUUGCUGCUGCAGGUGCUUUCUACUAAGUUAUCCAGAAGAUUUAGGACGGUGUUGGUCAAAUAAGGUUAGGAUAAUGUGGGUUCUGAUUGCUUGUCAACAAUGUGAGAGUGACCGCCACCAUGAUUUAUAUGAGCUUUGGUUGAGCCUAACACAGGGGGAGGAAGAAUUAGAGGGAAGGAGGGACCCCAAACCCUGCAUCAAAAGUCUCCAACAAUUCCCACUCCGAGCUCCGCGAGAGACAUGACGCAUGUGGGGGAUGUCAGACCCAAGCCCGGCACACACACAGCUUUCUCAGUCUCCAGUUGCCAUUGCGAGCUCAACACUGCGAGUACAAUGAUCUCCAAACAAAUGGAUAGAGGGUGCAAGAACCUUUUGACUUCAGGCGAGAGUGUGCAGGAAGGAAGAACAGAUGUUAGCAUCAAGAAGAAGCUACAAAAUGGUAUCAGACCAAAAACAGUGGCUGGCGCAGGUGUGAUGUCACGCGAGCAUUCUUGCACACCAAGUGUAUGUUGUUUGGCCCCUUUGCCGAUCUAUAAAGCCAUUGUUAGCAUCAGAACGUGAAUCCAGAGAUUGAGCACUCCUGCUCUGACACCACAAUAACUUAAGACUGUGCUGGUCACACGUUCCACCAUGGGAGAGCUUGUUGGAUCAGGAUGUUGCUGCAGGCCAACUCAGACGUGGGUGAGAGACGAACAGACGAGGGCGAGGAGCCAUGCUUUCUCUUAGGUUGGCUGGAUCGGAUACCAAGAUCUUGAGGUGGGUGAGAGGGUGUGUUCCCUCGGCCAAGUUCCCCAAGUUUGACCGCUCGCAUCACAUGGGCGACGCUGCGGUGCUGUGUGUACUAGUAGUAUUUAUUGUAGACGAGAACCUUGACGCUAUAGACCAACUCGGUCAUCUUUGAACGGUGAAUCUUAUAUUUUAUAUAAAAGUAAGUUGGUAAUUGUAAAUAGAUAAAACAUCUAAUGGGAGUGGGAUUUG
Musa acuminata AAA Group (dessert banana) is the source of this 1311-nucleotide long non-coding RNA. RefSeq lists it as uncharacterized. Lineage: Eukaryota; Viridiplantae; Streptophyta; Magnoliopsida; Zingiberales; Musaceae. The record is from RefSeq and is a predicted model, not a curated record. The transcript is spliced from 3 exons.